CCUAUCCCUCCAUUCCAAUCUCAGGCAUUGACGUCCACCUACCUCCCUUAGAUACUGCCGCCACUAAAUCAGACUUACCUUUAUUUCCACACUCUGGUCCUACUACAAUAGUCAUUCUAUGAUUACAAGGUCCAAGGCUAACAACAAUAAUCCAAAUGUCUUUAAUUCUAUCAUUACAGCCCCUGAUUAUACACACCAAUCCCCAACAUAUGCUAAAAUAGCAGUCACUAUACCUGAUUAGCAUAAAGUCAUGAUGGAAGAAUAUCAAAUCCUUAUUAAUGCUAAGACCAAGAUUGUAGUCUCAUCAUCAUAUAAUGCUAAAAUUAUCUGCAGCAAAUGGGUUUUUAUCAUAAAAAAACAUUCGGAUGGCACUAUAUAUAAGUAAGGUUGAGUGAGUCUAUCUCUUGUUGUACGAAAAAUUGAGUAACAGGUUGAGAAAUCUCUUCAAUUCAAUUCUCAAAUUAUGAUGUGGACAAGUUAGAUUGAGGAAUCCUUUUUUGUUGCAUAAAAAAAUUGGAUAGAAAGUAAGUGAUUCUUUUGUAUUCAAUUUCACCCUAUCUUUUUUAUUUCUAUUUCAAUUACAAUUUAUCCUUUUUAUUCAAUUUCAAUUCUUGCCUUAUUUAACCAUUCUUAUCAGGAGUUUAUUCAAGGUGUAGCUAGGUGCAGGGUUAAAUCUCUUUUUUAAGUUCAAAAUUUCUUUUUGUUUUUUGAUGAAAAGAUGGAUAAGAAGUCCAAAUAGUAGAAAAAACUAACAAAUAAUCAUCCUAAAAGAUCUAACUCCAAAAAUACUACCUAACGGAAAAGGGAAAAGGAAAGAAAGGGUUGUUAAAGAAGCUCAUCCCCAUAUCUUGAAUCUGUCCUUAUCUUGUUAAAGCAUCAGCGCUGGCGUUUGCUUCUCUGAAGAUUUGCUCCACAAUAACUUCCUCCAUCUCUGCCAACAGCUUUUUAAUGGAGUAUAUGAGAGAGGAGCCAACAUAGAGGUCUGCUUCCUGUUUCUAGACUAAUUGGGUGGCGCAUUUGGAAUCGCUUUCAACAAUUAGUUUGGGGAUUUUCAUCUCCUUUGCUAUUUUCAAGCCAAUCUAAAACUCCCAAAGCUCAACUAUGGUAAUGGAACAACACUCAGCAUCCCGCAACCACUCUAUCCAGAGAAUCUCUAAGUAAACUGCCACACACUCCCUUACUCCCAGAUUGAAGAACUGAGCCAUGGAAGUUGAGUUUGAUCCGGCUAACCUCAGAUUCUGGUUGUUAAAGAUGAGUUCGUUUUUGCAUCUUCAGGCUGUAUUACAUGUUAAUAAUUUUCCCUCUUGCAAGAUUAUUGUGAUAAAGUUAAGUGAUUAACUGCCAAUCAAUUAGUUCCGUAAAGAUAAAUAUAAGAUAUAAUUAUGACUGCAUAAUCAAGACCAGCUUAUCAAUUAUAUUAAAUUUUACUUGCCAUAUAUAUUUUUCACAUAGUAUAAUUUGUAUAAUUUGUCAAUGGAAAAUUCUAGUGAAGUAUGCAAACUGACAUUAUCAUAUAGAAGUGUUAUGGAGAAGAAUGAAAGGUUGUAGAUCAUAUGAAUUAUCUUUUGUACAGUAUGUUUUAGGUGUUAUGAUUUUUGUUAAUUGCAUUGGUUACGAGGUAGCAACAAUCCAAUGUAAUUUUGUAAUGAACAUAUUUAUACUAUACUACUAAGGAUCAAUAUGUACAUAUUUGUUGGUUUCUCUUAUUUUUAGACUGUUAUAUAAUUAAUUUAUUUGCAAUAUGAAUGCAAGUUAACGUCAUUUUUAUUUAA
Non-coding RNA from Arachis ipaensis, 1772 nucleotides. The record is from RefSeq and is a predicted model, not a curated record. NCBI's taxonomy places the organism in Eukaryota, Viridiplantae, Streptophyta, Magnoliopsida, Fabales, Fabaceae.